GGAGGGCGCAAGCGUUGUUCGGAAUCAUUGGGCGUAAAGCGCGUGCAGGCGGCUUGGUAAGUCGGGUGUGAAAUCCCGGGGCUCAACCCCGGAACUGCACCCGAUACUGCCUCGCUCGAGUCCCGGAGAGGAUGGCGGAAUUUCCGGUGUAGAGGUGAAAUUCGUAGAUAUCGGAAGGAACACCAGCGGCGAAGGCGGCCAUCUGGACGGUGACUGACGCUCAGACGCGAAAGCGUGGGGAGCAAACAGGAUUAGAUACCCUGGUAGUCCACGCUGUAAACGUUGGGUGCUAGGCGUCGUGGGUAUUGACCCCCGCGGUGCCGAAGCUAACGCAUUAAGCACCCCGCCUGGGGAGUACGGUCGCAAGACUAAA
Molecule: ribosomal RNA, 373 nt
Filed under: uncultured bacterium
Lineage: Bacteria
Description: bacterial SSU rRNA
Rfam family: Bacterial small subunit ribosomal RNA
Source: RNAcentral